This 28-nucleotide non-coding RNA is filed under the name Cricetulus griseus (Chinese hamster). The record is from RNAcentral. Lineage: Eukaryota; Metazoa; Chordata; Mammalia; Rodentia; Cricetidae.
ACUUACUAAAGUCUCAUUCUGUAGCAGC